UACGAAGGGGGCUAGCGUUGCUCGGAAUCACUGGGCGUAAAGGGUGCGUAGGCGGGUUUUUAAGUCAGAGGUGAAAUGCUGGAGCUCAACUCCAGAACUGCCUUUGAUACUGAAAGUCUUGAGUAUGGGAGAGGUGAGUGGAACUGCGAGUGUAGAGGUGAAAUUCGUAGAUAUUCGCAAGAACACCAGUGGCGAAGGCGGCUCACUGGCCCAUAACUGACGCUGAGGCGCGAAAGCUAGGGGAGCAAACGGG
Molecule: ribosomal RNA, 253 nt
Filed under: uncultured bacterium
Lineage: Bacteria
Description: partial 16S ribosomal RNA
Rfam family: Bacterial small subunit ribosomal RNA
Source: RNAcentral